This 477-nucleotide ribosomal RNA is filed under the name fungal sp. ARIZ B522. RNAcentral describes it as "eukaryotic LSU rRNA". The stretch from base 159 to 312 matches the Rfam family "5.8S ribosomal RNA". The record is from RNAcentral. Lineage: Eukaryota; Fungi.
GAUCAUUACCGAGUUAUUCAACUCAUCAACCCUGUGAACAUACCUAAACGUUGCUUCGGCGGGAAUAGACGGCCCCGUGAAACGGGCCGCCCCCGCCAGAGGACCCUUAACUCUGUUUCUAUAAUGUUUCUUCUGAGUAAAACAAGCAAAUAAAUUAAAACUUUCAACAACGGAUCUCUUGGCUCUGGCAUCGAUGAAGAACGCAGCGAAAUGCGAUAAGUAAUGUGAAUUGCAGAAUUCAGUGAAUCAUCGAAUCUUUGAACGCACAUUGCGCCCGCCAGUAUUCUGGCGGGCAUGCCUGUUCGAGCGUCAUUACAACCCUCAGGCCCCCGGGCCUGGCGUUGGGGAUCGGCGGAGCCUCUCUGUGGGCACACGCCGUCCCCCAAAUACAGUGGCGGUCCCGCCGCAGCUUCCAUCGCGUAGUAGCUAACACCUCGCGACUGGAGAGCGGCGCGGCCACGCCGUAAAACACCCAAC